UUGGGAACUGCCGAAUAGUUGCGGAUAAGUCACUUUUCAUUAUUUAAUAAGCAGGUAUAAGAGGUCUUAGGCCACUUACAGCAAAUUAUAACUAUUUGGAUAAAAUUUUAAGAUUUCAUUGGAUGAUCUAAUAAAUCUCUUAAACAUAUUUAAAUCACAUGGAUGUGUGCAAUUCCGGGUUCUUCUUCAGCUUUCAGUCACUUUUCGCAACGUUGGAUACACGGAUACAAAUGUAGCUGUGUAUCUAAUAGAUAUACGUACACUAGCAUCUAUGUCGCUCUUUCUUUCUUUGUCUCGCUCGUGUUGUAUUAUGUUUUGGGCGCAAUAUUAGAGCUGGUGCACGAAGCAAAGCCCGCGAGCACACAAACUGCACAUAAGUAUACACAAAA
Long non-coding RNA from Drosophila innubila, 389 nucleotides. RefSeq lists it as uncharacterized. The record is from RefSeq and is a predicted model, not a curated record. The transcript has 2 exons. Lineage: Eukaryota; Metazoa; Arthropoda; Insecta; Diptera; Drosophilidae.